CCUACGGGAGGCAGCAGUGGGGAAUAUUGGACAAUGGGGGGAACCCUGAUCCAGCCAUGCCGCGUGUGUGAAGAAGGCCCUCGGGUUGUAAAGCACUUUCAGUGAGGAAGAACGCCUGGUGGUUAAUACCCAUCAGGAAAGACAUCACUCACAGAAGAAGCACCGGCUAACUCCGUGCCAGCAGCCGCGGUAAUACGGAGGGUGCGAGCGUUAAUCGGAAUUACUGGGCGUAAAGCGCGCGUAGGUGGCUUGAUAAGCCGGUUGUGAAAGCCCCGGGCUCAACCUGGAACGGCAUCCGGAACUGUCAAGCUAGAGUGCAGGAGAGGAAGGUAGAAUUCCCGGUGUAGCGGUGAAAUGCGUAGAGAUCGGGAGGAAUACCAGUGGCGAAGGCGGCCUUCUGGACUGACACUGACACUGAGGUGCGAAAGCGUGGGUAGCAAACAGGAUUAGAUACCCUGGUAGUC
RNAcentral lists this ribosomal RNA (464 nucleotides) under Vreelandella stevensii. RNAcentral's name for it is "partial 16S ribosomal RNA". It matches the Rfam family "Bacterial small subunit ribosomal RNA", at positions 338 to 795 of the family's 1533-position model. The record is from RNAcentral. Lineage: Bacteria; Pseudomonadati; Pseudomonadota; Gammaproteobacteria; Oceanospirillales; Halomonadaceae.